This 74-nucleotide transfer RNA is filed under the name Camelus bactrianus (Bactrian camel). It matches the Rfam family "tRNA". Rfam says of the family: Transfer RNA (tRNA) molecules are approximately 80 nucleotides in length. Their secondary structure includes four short double-helical elements and three loops (D, anti-codon, and T loops). Lineage: Eukaryota; Metazoa; Chordata; Mammalia; Artiodactyla; Camelidae. The record is from Rfam by way of RNAcentral. RNAcentral also lists the same sequence under 3 other names.
GAGGGUAUACCUCAAAGUGGUAGAGCACAUGCUUAGCAUGCACAAGGUCCUGGGUUCAAUCCCCAGUACCUCCU